GGGCUGUCCUCCUGGCCUGCAGGAGCUGGCUGUGUGUCCUUCCGCAUGGUACCUCCCUUCCAUGGGCCUCUGCUUGCCUGGGGGACAUAUCAGAGACUGGAGUCUAACAGGCACUGGUUACACAAAACAUCACGUAUUUUCAACAAGAUGACUGGCUUAAAUUGAGGGUUCCCAAAUGGUUUUCUGUGAACAGAGGUUUCCACUGCUGGGCCAUCCCCCAGAGGAGCCCGUUCUGAGGAGGAGUCCUGGCCACACUUACUCGCUGUCUCACUUCCAGGCAUUCCUGGGGUCCUCAGGGGAAUUUCCAGGGUGUCUUCUGAGCUGACCUGGUCCAGUGGUUUUCGGUCCUGAUGGCUUCCCGUCUUUGAGUCCUCAGAGAAAAAACUUGCGCAGGCAGCCCACCUCCAGUGACUGGGCAAGAUGGAGUACACAGGCCUGGCCAUUUCUGCUUGACCCAGGAUGGGAUGACCAGCAAUAUUCACUUCAGAGCUUCCCACCAGCUUGGCCAAGACCUUGUCAGGCUGCAUCGCAUUUAAUCUCUCCCUCCCUGAAUCCUCAUUCUAUCCCCUCCCACAAGUAGUGAUCCCUAAUAAACAUCAUGCAUUCAAAG
This 610-nucleotide long non-coding RNA is filed under the name Pan troglodytes (chimpanzee). RNAcentral's name for it is "long non-coding RNA NONPTRT010904". Lineage: Eukaryota; Metazoa; Chordata; Mammalia; Primates; Hominidae. The record is from RNAcentral.